This 25-nucleotide non-coding RNA is filed under the name Mus musculus (house mouse). The record is from RNAcentral. Lineage: Eukaryota; Metazoa; Chordata; Mammalia; Rodentia; Muridae.
UAGAAAUGAUGCUAAACAGAGGUCC